Polypterus senegalus (gray bichir) is the source of this 813-nucleotide long non-coding RNA. RefSeq lists it as uncharacterized. Lineage: Eukaryota; Metazoa; Chordata; Cladistia; Polypteriformes; Polypteridae. The transcript is spliced from 4 exons. The record is from RefSeq and is a predicted model, not a curated record.
AGCCCCGCCCUUACGUCUGUGACCACGCCCACUGGGGGGGGCACGCCAUCGAGCGAGGCCGGAGCGGAGGUGAAUGUAUCGACACGCCUAUGACCACGCCCACUCGCGCACGCCAUCGAGCGAGGCGUGAGCGGAGGUGAAUGUAUCGACACGACCUUUUGUUGCGAUGGCUUCAAGUGUAAGCUAACCGGGUCUCUGCACUCUGUUAUUUUAUACGCAUUUUUUGAAAUCUUGCAACAGUAUAGCUCGUGUUAAUUGACUGGCCAGGUAAAUGAUAUUUAAAUAGCGUAACAAUAAAGCGGGUUGACUAGGCCCGCCUUUCUCGCGGCGUCUUUGACGUUUGCUGUGGCGUUCCCCCAGUACGAAACCCCGCCUUUUUUUCUCCCGCCUUCGCUGUCAAAUGGACGACAUCAACGUCCGUUCAAACGGUAGUGAAGCUACAACGAUUUGUCAUCUUUUUUAACUCUCCGGGAUUUUAAAAGAUCUUCAGAUGAAACAAACUAAGCAGCAAAGCUGAUGAAGAAGAAUGUUGGUUUGAAGGCUUACUUCACAUUUGUGCCAAUGUGACCUGCGUAACAAAAAGGAUAAGCAGAAAGUUGGAACUUCUCUGUUCUCUAAGGAGGAAUUUGGAUUACUCCAUGACCCUGUUCUGAAAAACUGGUCAUUAAUCAGUGUCAAGAAUGCAUUAUUGAUUAUUUUCAAUGUGUGUGGAUGUUUAGUAUAUAGUCCACUGAUAGCAGCCUCCAAUGAUGAAAAGAAAAGACUGAUACUUGGAAGUAAACAUUUCCCUUUUUUGUGAAGGUUGACUCCUCG